UACGUAGGGUGCAAGCGUUUGUCCGGAAUUAUUGGGCGUAAAGAGCUCGUAGGCGGUUUGUCGCGUCGAAUGUGAAAACCCACAGCUCAACUGUGGGCUUGCAUUCGAUACGGGCAGGCUAGAGUUCGGUAGGGGGAGACUGGAAUUCCUGGUGUAGCGGUGAAGUGCGCAGAUAUCAGGAGGAACACCGGUGGCGAAGGCGGGGUCUCUGGGCCGAUACUGACGCUGAGGAGCGAAAAGCGUGGGGGAGCGAACAGG
This 258-nucleotide ribosomal RNA is filed under the name uncultured bacterium. Its description in RNAcentral is "partial 16S ribosomal RNA". It matches the Rfam family "Bacterial small subunit ribosomal RNA", at positions 524 to 776 of the family's 1533-position model. The record is from RNAcentral.